GGGAUUGUUGUGUAAGGGAACUUGUUUCAGCCAAGGCAGAACUUGUUUCAGAAAUUUUCUCCUCCUUUCAACUGCUACACCGCAAUAAGGGAGGAAAGUCUUGGUCUUCAGUGACAAAGACCAUUGAAAUCAAAGAGAACUCAAGCACGAAAUGGGGAUGGCUUCAAGGAACACCCGAUCAUGAACCACGCCUAGCUGACGCACCCAUUUCAAGGCACCUCCUGUCGUCGGCAACAAAUAGUUUUUCAGCUUUGAACAGUUCCGGCGCUGAGAUUCACAAGUAUUUAAAACCCAUAUCGAUUUCUUUUUAAAAAAUAUUUAAGUCAUAAUUUUUUAUUUAUUGAUUAUAUGUUCUGGUUUUGUUUAGUAACAUCUGAAAUUUGUAUGAACUGUAAUUUUUGUUAAGAGGAUUUUUUUUUAAUGAGACUUUUGUAAGAAGUUGUUUGGUGGUAAGAGUGUUGUUUUUGGUUAGCUUGUUUCAGGUGUGUAGCUUGCGUUUCAACUUUCGAGGAGGAGGAGGGCUAGGAGAAAAGAGUGAAGGCUCAGUGAUUUCAGGUAAAGAGAGAGAGUCAGAGAGAAAAACCUUGAGGGAGCACCGGAGCAGGGAGGCCUGAAGGUUGAGGCUGAGGCAGUGACCGUCACUGACGAGCGAUCUCCGAUGACGACGAUGUGCUCUGGACUGCGACUGGAGCGAGGGAGGCGUUGCUCUGUUUUUAGGUCAGGUGUUGCCGGGAACACCACACCCUGAGCAUAACGUGGCACCACCACUGCUUGCAGCAAGCAGGUACACCUUGAAGAUGAAGAUGAAGUAGUUGGGCCACAGUCUCUUGUAAUCCAAGAGGGUUCAGAUGGCAUUUCCCUUAAGCCAUUUUCUGACACUGAUAAAGCGCCACCAGA
This is a long non-coding RNA of Quercus lobata, 897 nucleotides long. RefSeq lists it as uncharacterized. Lineage: Eukaryota; Viridiplantae; Streptophyta; Magnoliopsida; Fagales; Fagaceae. The transcript has 5 exons. The record is from RefSeq and is a predicted model, not a curated record.